This 213-nucleotide unclassified non-coding RNA is filed under the name root metagenome. Its description in RNAcentral is "partial contains small subunit ribosomal RNA, internal transcribed spacer 1, and 5.8S ribosomal RNA". The record is from RNAcentral.
UCUCCGUUGGUGAACCAGCGGAGGGAUCAUUACAGAGUUGCAAAACUCCCUAAACCAUUGUGAACGUUACCUAAACCGUUGCUUCGGCGGGCGGCCCGCGCCCCGUAAAACGGGACGGCCCGCCCGAGGACCCCUAAACUCUGUUUUUAGUGGAACUUCUGAGUAAAACAAACAAAUAAAUCAAAACUUUCAACAACGGAUCUCUUGGUUCUG